ACGAACGCUGGCGGCGUGCUUAACACAUGCAAGUCGAACGGAAAGGCCCUGCUUUUGUGGGGUGCUCGAGUGGCGAACGGGUGAGUAACACGUGAGUAACCUGGCCUUGACUUUGGGAUAACUUCAGGAAACUGGGGCUAAUACCGGAUAGGAGCUCCUGCUGCAUGGUGGGGGUUGGAAAGUUUCGGCGGUUGGGGAUGGACUCGCGGCUUAUCAGCUUGUUGGUGGGGUAGUGGCUUACCAAGGCUUUGACGGGUAGCCGGCCUGAGAGGGUGACCGGCCCCAUUGGGACUGAGAUACGGCCCAGACUCCUACGGGAGGCAACAGUGGGGAAUAUUGCACAAUGGGCCGAAGCCUGAUGCAGCAACGCCGCGUGCGGGAUGACGGCCUUCGGGUUGUAAACCGCUUUCGCCUGUGACGAAGCGUGAGUGACGGUAAUGGGUAAAGAAGCACCGGCUAACUACGUG
Molecule: ribosomal RNA, 467 nt
Filed under: uncultured bacterium
Lineage: Bacteria
Description: partial 16S ribosomal RNA
Rfam family: Bacterial small subunit ribosomal RNA
Source: RNAcentral